UCCCUCGAAGGCAGCGCACUCCUCCUCCCAGCGCUCCUUCAAUGAUUGGCAACACUCCUCCUCCUCCUCCCAGUUGCCAAUCCGGAUCAAGAGCCCGAUGCAUCCUCCUCCCGCAUCGGGCUCUUUUU
Molecule: small RNA, 128 nt
Filed under: Rhizobium sp. BK347
Lineage: Bacteria; Pseudomonadati; Pseudomonadota; Alphaproteobacteria; Hyphomicrobiales; Rhizobiaceae
Also listed under: 3 other names
Description: ar14
Rfam family: Alphaproteobacterial ar14
About the family: Smr14C2 was renamed NfeR1 (Nodule Formation Efficiency RNA) highly expressed in salt stress and during the symbiotic interaction on legume roots.
Source: RNAcentral